GACGAACGCUGGCGGCGUGCUUAACACAUGCAAGUCGAACGGAAAGGCCCUGCUUUUGUGGGGUGCUCGAGUGGCGAACGGGUGAGUAACACGUGAGUAACCUGCCCUUGACUUUGGGAUAACUUCAGGAAACUGGGGCUAAUACCGGAUAGGAGCUCCUGCUGCAUGGUGGGGGUUGGAAAGUUUCGGCGGUUGGGGAUGGACUCGCGGCUGAUCAGCUUGUUGGUGGGGUAGUGGCUUACCAAGGCUUUGACGGGUAGCCGGCCUGAGAGGGUGACCGGCCACAGUGGAACGAAAGUGGCGCCGAGGCCCCGAGGGGAGGCAGGAGGGGGGAAUAUGGAACAAGGGGGGGAAGCCGGCUACAGACACCCCGGGUGGGGGAUGACGGCCUUGGGGUUGUAAACCGUUUUCGCCUGUGACGAGGGGGGAGGGAGUGGAAAGGGUAAAAGAGCACGGGCAAAUCAGGG
This 467-nucleotide ribosomal RNA is filed under the name uncultured bacterium. RNAcentral's name for it is "partial 16S ribosomal RNA". It matches the Rfam family "Bacterial small subunit ribosomal RNA", at positions 28 to 506 of the family's 1533-position model. The record is from RNAcentral.